Molecule: ribosomal RNA, 404 nt
Filed under: bacterium enrichment culture clone ALO1_GLFRUDD03F9AK2
Lineage: Bacteria
Description: bacterial SSU rRNA
Rfam family: Bacterial small subunit ribosomal RNA
Source: RNAcentral
GAGUUUGAUCCUGGCUCAGAUUGAACGCUGGCGGCAUGCCUUACACAUGCAAGUCGAACGGCAGCACGGGAGCUUGCUCCUGGUGGCGAGUGGCGAACGGGUGAGUAAUGCAUCGGAACGUAUCCUGGAGUGGGGGAUAACGUAGCGAAAGUUACGCUAAUACCGCAUAUUCUGUGAGCAGGAAAGCGGGGGACCUUCGGGCCUCGCGCUCUUGGAGCGGCCGAUGUCGGAUUAGCUAGUUGGUGAGGUAAAGGCUCACCAAGGCGACGAUCCGUAGCAGGUCUGAGAGGAUGAUCUGCACACUGGAACUGAGACACGGUCCAGACUCCUACGGAGGCAGCAGUGGGAAUUUUGGACAAUGGGGCAACCCUGAUCCAGCCAUGCCGCGUGAGUGAAGAAGGCCU